This is a long non-coding RNA of Parus major (Great Tit), 2161 nucleotides long. RefSeq lists it as uncharacterized. Lineage: Eukaryota; Metazoa; Chordata; Aves; Passeriformes; Paridae. The record is from RefSeq and is a predicted model, not a curated record. The transcript is spliced from 2 exons.
AACAAACACCGGAAACAGGGAGAUUCAGGGGCUUUUAUCUGUUUUCCUUCCAGGUCCGUUAGGAAAGUGACGCCGUGUUCCUCGAGAUGUUAAUGAGUCUGAAGCUCGUCACCGCCGUGGGUUACUCAGGCAGAGACUCAGCGACACAAUGAGGAAACUGUGGCAUGGAGAGGCAAGCCAGGACGGGCUCCAGAGAUGCAAAACAGCUUUGCACAACCAGCUCCUCAUCGUCGGGACAAUGUGCCCUGGGUCUGGAGCUGUCCAAGGAUGUGAGGACCCCACUGGGGUCCCCCUGCAAAGGGAUGCCCCAGUGUCAAUAUCUGAGUGCUUCACAAAGUGCCCUUGUCCUUGGCCAGUGGUGUGUGUCCGCAGGGGCCAGCCAGGCGUUAUUCAUGGCAUUGGCAUGUGAUUCCCGGCACCGGUGGGCGGCCGGGGCUGACCGGGCGCGUUUGCUGAUGCCCAGGGAGCCGAGGGGCAGCUGCACUGUGCCAGCAGCCCGGCGGUGCCAAGCUGCACCACGGGGUGCUUCAGCUUUUGCCGGCCCACGGCACUGCACGGAACACCCAGCGCCUUCGAGAUGAGCCUUGCCAACAGGAUGAAACCAGAUCUGCCAGUGAUUCCCGGGGGAGCGGCACGGCUCCCUGCCAGAUCUGUUCUUUGCCAGCCACUGGCAGCCGGCCCUUCCCACAAAGGCGUGGGGAGAACCAAGGGGAGGCUGGCACAGGCCCGUGCCUGGGGCUCCUGAGACCCAGCAUUUACUCAGAGCUAGGUCUUGACAUUCAAAACUUUUUUUAAAAUUUCCAUUUCCUAAAAAACACCACAAACAGAAACAUCACAGUGAACUAGCCCAGCACUUCCUCCGGUGCCAGGGCAACACGACACCUGGCUCGGUGGCAUGCGAAGAAUUGUGGCUUCAGCAGCAGCCACACACACUCUGCAAAGGACCAGGUACACCUGCACUGGACUGAAGCUGAUGUGACACAGUAACAAAGUAGUGCAAGGACAUCUCUGCCCACAGUGGGUACAAACAGUGGUCCCUGCCAUGCACUCCCACCACGCAGUUUUCUUUGAGAGCAACCCCAUUUCUCCUCCCGCACAUCCCCCUUCCAAACCACUCCCUUGGGUUUCAAAUUACUUCUAAAACACCCUGUCCACUCACAGGUCUAAUCCCCCUUCACAUGAGCAAGGUCCUCAUCGCCUGCCUGUGCUGCAGGCGCCAGGGACGGGAGGUGCAGAGCAGUGCAAAGUAGCUCAGGACCACCCCAAAUCAGGCUCCCGGCUAUUUGGCACAGAAAGCGAGGUGCUGGAGCCUAGUGAAGGCAAAGUCUGCAGCCUUCCAUGAGCCAGGGGGAAGGGUGGAAACAACUUCCCGCUUCAGUAGGGAAGGUGAUGGACCUUGAUCCGCAAGGAUUGUGCCACCACAGGUGCCAUGGCUGCUUUGGGAUUCCCGGAGCAGAGGACAUCCCACACGUUUGCAUCACCCCACUGCUUGGUUUAAUUUCCAGCUCCAAGCCCCCAGUUUCCCUGGCUGCCACGGGACAAGGCUCCCGUGGGAAGCAGCUCACAUGGCCGGACCGUGGCUAAAGCGGCCGGACCGUGGCUAACAGAGCCGCCUUUGAAGUCCGGCCGUCCCCAGGCCCCGGGGAGCUGGGCCGGCUCUGAAACGCACGCUCACAGCAGCCAGAGCCGCGGGAGCAUCGCGGCGAUCCAAGCCUCCCACUGCGGGUCAUCCCGACCGGCUCCUUCGGGAAGCGCCAUAAAUCCACCUCCCGGGAAUAAUGCUGCUAAACCUGGGAUUAGGCUCCCCUGGAAAGGGGAAUUAGGUGCAGACCCCUCGGACCAGCGAGGAAAGGACUUGCUGCUGUUGGUGGAACAAAGAGUCUUUUGUCCGCAUUUGACGUUAUCAGGAGUUAUUUUUAGGUCAACGCCUGCACUUGCUGGUGUUGUCAGGAUUAUCUGUAAAUCGACAGACCUUCAAAGACACUGCCUGAGCGCGAAGAGGGAGGAAAUCCUUGUGUUGUCUCUUGCAAGGGACAUUUGCCCUUGGGCUCGGCCUGAUAAGGGUUUAUUGCUCGAAGUGGGGAAUUCCUAUGAAAGCCCUACAACUUCUUAAGAGUCCUAAGAGCUCCUAAAUCCAUUAAAGCUCCUAAAUAUGCUUAAA